Molecule: ribosomal RNA, 497 nt
Filed under: uncultured bacterium
Lineage: Bacteria
Description: partial 16S ribosomal RNA
Rfam family: Bacterial small subunit ribosomal RNA
Source: RNAcentral
GAUGAACGCUGGCGGCGUGCCUAAUACAUGCAAGUCGAGCGAACAGACGAGGAGCUUGCUCCUCUGACGUUAGCGGCGGACGGGUGAGUAACACGUGGAUAACCUACCUAUAAGACUGGGAUAACUUCGGGAAACCGGAGCUAAUACCGGAUAAUAUCUUGAACCGCAUGGUUCAAGAGUGAAAGACGGUUUUGCUGUCACUUAUAGAUGGAUCCCCGCCGCAUUAGCUAGUUGGUAAGGUAACGGCCUACAAAGGCAACGAUGCUUACCCGACCGGAGAGGGGGAUCGGCAACACUGGAACUGAGAAACGGUCCAGACUCCUACGGGAGGAAGCAGUAGGGAAUCUUCCGCAAUGGGCGAAAGCUUGACGGAGCAACGCGGCGUGAGUGAUGAAGGUCUUCGGAUCGUAAAACUCUGUUAUUAGGGAAGAACAAAUGUGUAAGUAACUAUGCACGUCUUGACGGUACCUAAUCAGAAAGCCACGGCUAACUACGUG